GAUGAAGAACGUAGUGAAAUGCGAUACGUAAUGUGAAUUGCAGAAUUCAGUGAAUCAUCGAGUCUUUGAACGCACAUUGCGCCCCCUGGUAUUCCGGGGGGCAUGCCUGUCCGAGCGUCAUUGCUGCCCUCAAGCACGGCUUGUGUGUUGGGCCUCCGUCCUCCUCCCGGGGGACGGGCCCGAAAGGCAGCGACGGCACCGCGUCCGGUCCUCGAGCGUAUGGGGCUUCGUCACCCGCUCUUGUAGGCCCGGCCGGCGCUUGCCGACACAUCAAUCUUUUUUCCAGGUUGACCUCGGAUCAGGUAGGGAUACCCGCUGAACUUAAGCAUAUCAAUAAGCGGAGGA
This 345-nucleotide unclassified non-coding RNA is filed under the name soil metagenome. RNAcentral describes it as "partial contains 5.8S ribosomal RNA, internal transcribed spacer 2, and large subunit ribosomal RNA". The stretch from base 1 to 120 matches the Rfam family "5.8S ribosomal RNA", at positions 35 to 154 of the family's 154-position model. The record is from RNAcentral.